UUUUGUGGCUAUAUCACCUUGACAAUGCCUGAUCUCUUUUGGAAGCUAAACAAGGCCGGGUCUGGUUAGUAUUUGGGUGGGAGACAGCUGGGAAUACCAGGUGCCACAGUGA
RNAcentral lists this ribosomal RNA (112 nucleotides) under Periophthalmus magnuspinnatus. Lineage: Eukaryota; Metazoa; Chordata; Actinopteri; Gobiiformes; Gobiidae. The record is from RNAcentral.